CUGCACUGUCAUUGUAUGGGAACUGCGACCAUAAUCAAGAUAUAAUAAUUAAUGACCGGAUUUUCCAUUUCAUUCCUGAUUUUCCUCCUUACAGGGACAGUCUGGAGCCAGCAGCACCAGUCCAGAGCCCACCUCCAAUGAUGAAAAGUUAUCAGAAGGAAAUUACUUAUAAAAUGAAGAAUGCCUUACAGAACCAUGAGCCCACCUGUAGCCUCCCCUGAGCCCAGCACCCUCAGCCAGGAUCAGCUCCAGCUCAGGCGUGGCACCACCAGUGAUUAGGGACCGGAUUAAGGAUUGUGGUGUUAAAAUCCACACUACAGGAGUGCCUCAAACCUAGUGACACUUGUGGGACACAAAUCAAGCUACAACGGAGGGCGCGCUACAUGGAAACGUGAGGGGAGGGUGCGUACAUGAGUUUCUUGACCUCGUAGCUGAGGUGAUAGCUGUACGUGUUGUCCUCUGUCACCCUGCAAGUAACAAGAAGACAGCGUGAGCAACCAGCCCGUGAGGAGCGUGUGAGGGACCCAGGAGUGUGACUCACAACACAGAGUGAAGAGUGAAUAUUAGCAGUGAGACUCCUCUGGAUAAGUGUUGCCAUUUAAAGGUCAAAGCCAAAGGAGAUGUGAAGGAUCUGCUUGAGGGAUCAGCUAUCAAAGAGUCCAAACAUUUAACAGGUGAACAAGUUAAGAAGCAAUAAGUGCUUUUACUACACACAGAGAUUAGUUUAAAAAUUGCUAGCUUACCAUAAACGAUUGGAUGGCCUCAGCUGAACAUAUUAUAGCUUCAUUUGUUUAGGUCAUGUUUCUUACAACAAUUAAAAAUGGUUAACUGCUGUUUUGAGAAAGAUGUGUGUACCCCUAAUACAGUAUUACUGAUCUAAACGUCCACCACCAGAAGGAAGACAACUAUCCACCAUGAGCUGUCCCUGUAAUUAAUGACAUUGACAAGUAAAAACUAAAUAUUGCAGUGUUGGUUACUCAGCCUGUGAACAAACACCAUUACCUCUCUCUCUCUCUCUCUCUCUCUCUCUCUCUCUCUCUCUCUCUCUCUCUCUCUCUCCCCCACGAAGAGAAAGAGAUAAAAUUUUUUAACCAGUCAUGUUUAUUCUGAAUCUGUUCCUAGCAGAUAAUAGGGAAAACAAAACAGUAAGCAAUAAAACACCUAAAGGAACAUAAAGGAGAGGAAGACUGAAACAACAAGUCUAGCUGUGGCUGGUUAGACAACAAUAAUCAAUUAUCAUUCAAACAAUGGUUAACAGUGCCUCAAACCAGAGAUGGCUUUAUUAAAAUUUAUCAUGAACUAAGUCAAAUGGCCUAAUCUGUUGAUUGUCAUUACCAGCAAGUCCAAGACUAGAAGCUCACAUACAUAUUCACUCAACACAGAGAUGGCAAUGCCCACAUCUUCAACAAAUAACUGCUGAUCCAUCCUGACAACUAUCCAAACCUGUGAGCUGAAGUGACUCACAAUUGAGCUUAUGUUUGAUGUCAGCUGCCACUCACUUCACAAAAUUUACAGACUUCACAGUUAUGCCAUACAUCUAUGGUUCAUGUCAUGAAGAGUGAAUAUAUGUUGUAAACAAUCACUUUAUCAUUCUAAAGAAGAAGAAAAAAAAAUAAUAAUGAGAAAUGUAUGAUGGCAACCUCUGCUACUACAGUAAUGAGCCAACAGUGUUUUCAUGGUGUACAGCUAAAACAAUAUGUAUUCUCUGCAUUUUUUUUCCUUCUAGUAUGUUCUUUAACUCUGUCUGGAUUUUGAAGUAGUUUAUCAAGACAUCAGCUGUUUGUGUUUUUAUUGAAAUUCUAUUUUAAGAGCUGUCAUGUAUAAUAGUAAAAAUUUCAGAAAAAUCUAAAACCUUUGAGGACUCAACAAAAUAUAAGAUUAUGCCAUACACAUUACAGCAUGGUUCAUACAGUACUUAAAUGUGUUUUAAGCAAUAUAACAUGUACAAAUGUUAUCUAGACCAUAUGUUAAAACAGAACUAAAGUGUAUUCUUUCCCUAAUAAUGCAUUUUUCUUACAAUAUGCUUAGCCUUUACUUUACAAUGAUGAUGAUUAGAAGGCUAUAAAUACAGGCAUUAUUAUGUACUACAAAUUUUCUCCUAUCACUAUGCUUUAAAUAUUAUGCAUGGCAAAACACCCAUGUGAUGAAUUGCAUUUUGAGUAUGCUAUGCUACUUAAAUAUCACCAUAAAAAGGACAAAUGACAAAAGCAGAAAGUAAAUGCACUUUAGAUUUCAGGACUAAUGAAGGAUAAAAGUUACUCAACAUCUGCAUACUCAAAAUACACUUAUAAUAACUUUAGAACUUUUAGUGUUAUGGCAGAAUGAGAGGCAUAUUGUGUUACUUCUCUAAGAGCUAAAGAUAGCAGAAGGAAAAUUUACUCUCCUAGUAAGCACUAGAGAUGCUAAUAAAAUAUCUGAAGACAUAAUAACUGUCUUGUGCUGUGAUAAAACAACAGCUUUCUAGUUCAGAUUUAUAAACUGCAUUUAAUAAUAAUAAUAAUAAUAAUAAUAAUAAUAAUAAUAAUAAUAAUAAUAAUAAUAAUAAUAAUAAUAAUAAUAAUAGUAAUAAUAAUAAUAAUAACAGUGAUGAUAACAAUUAACAUCAACAAAGAAACAAAAUGGCAACACUGAAAUAAUAACAAAGUUAAUGGAUAUUUCAGUCUUACUGUAACAAAAUGGGUUUCUUUUGAAUGGAUGUUUCAUUAUGUUGUACAAAGAAAUUAAAUUAGCUAUUCUAUGCAUAUAGUGCAGAAAAAAAGGCAAAAAUAUGCAACUGAAGAGAAGCUGAAAAUACUUGAUAGUAAGUAAUAUUCUUGUGUAAGAAAGCUGUUCAAACAAACCUAAGUUAUGCCAUACUUCCUGUCAGCCAUCAGUGAGUUUCACUUCCACUUCAUUGGCUCAAGAAAUCUGGAUGUAUUUUGUAAUGAUUUCAUUACUGAACAAAUGCUUUGAAAAAGAUCUAGAUAAAGUGUGAUACCAGAAACUGAAUAAUAUCACAAAAAAGCAUUGCACACUCCUCCAAA
This is a long non-coding RNA of Scylla paramamosain (green mud crab), 3023 nucleotides long. RefSeq lists it as uncharacterized. The record is from RefSeq and is a predicted model, not a curated record. Lineage: Eukaryota; Metazoa; Arthropoda; Malacostraca; Decapoda; Portunidae. The transcript is spliced from 4 exons.